This 379-nucleotide unclassified non-coding RNA is filed under the name uncultured Bacillaceae bacterium. Its description in RNAcentral is "contains 16S-23S intergenic spacer region". Lineage: Bacteria; Bacillati; Bacillota; Bacilli; Caryophanales; Bacillaceae. The record is from RNAcentral.
UCCGGUUUGUCACCGGCAGUCACCUUAGAGUGCCCAACUAAAUGCUGGCAACUAAGAUCAAGGGUUGCGCUCGUUGCGGGACUUAACCCAACAUCUCACGACACGAGCUGACGACAACCAUGCACCACCUGUCACUCAUGUCCCCGAAGGGAACACUCUAUCUCUAGAGCUAUCAUGAGGAUGUCAAGACCUGGUAAGGUUCUUCGCGUUGCUUCGAAUUAAACCACAUGCUCCACCGCUUGUGCGGGUCCCCGUCAAUUCUUUUGAGUUUCAGCCUUGCGGCCGUACUCCCCAGGCGGAGUGCUUAAUGCGUUAACUGCAGCACUAAGGGGCGGAAACCCCCUAACACCUAGCACUCAUCGUUUACGGCGUGGACUAC